CACUACACCAUUUUAAAAUAUGAAAGGCUUCGGCUGGAUAUUUUUAUCACCCUUGUCUUUUGCGCACUUGUUGUUUCCUGGGCGGGUUCGCCCGCCACCAGGACCACACCAUAAACCUUUUUUAUGCAGUUGCAAUCAGCGUCAGUAUAACAAAUGUAAAUCAUUUACAACUUUCAACAACGGAUCUCUUGGUUCUGGCAUCGAUGAAAAACGCAGCGAAAUGCGAUACGUAGUGUGAAUUGCAGAAUUCAGUGAAUCAUCGAAUCUUUGAACGCACAUUGCGCCCUUUGGUAUUCCAAAGGGCAUGCCUGUUCGAGCGUCAUUUGUACCCUCAAGCUUUGCUUGGGGUUGGGCGUCUUUUGUCUUUGGCCUCGCCCAAAGACUCACCUUAAAACGAUUGGCAGCCGGCCUACUGGUUUCCCAACGCAGCACAUUUUUGCGCUUGCAAUCACCAGGAGGACGGCAAUCCAUCAAAACUACUUUUUUACGCCUGACCUCCGAUCAGGUAUUGGAUACCCGAUGAACUUAAACAUAUCAAUAAAGGGAAAGAUCAGUAACAAUUAAAAAAUGAUGGCUUCGGUGGAUUAUUUUUAUCACCCUUGUCUUUUGCGCACUUUUUGUUUCCUGGGCGGGUUUGCCCGCCACCAUGACACACCAUAACCUUUUUUUAUGCAGUUGCAUCACGUCAGUAUAACAAAUGUAAAUCUUUUAAACUUUUCAACAACGGAUCUCUUGGUUCUGGCAUCA
RNAcentral lists this ribosomal RNA (747 nucleotides) under Exserohilum turcicum. Its description in RNAcentral is "eukaryotic LSU rRNA". The stretch from base 169 to 322 matches the Rfam family "5.8S ribosomal RNA". The record is from RNAcentral. Lineage: Eukaryota; Fungi; Ascomycota; Dothideomycetes; Pleosporales; Pleosporaceae.